RNAcentral lists this long non-coding RNA (1758 nucleotides) under Pelobates cultripes (western spadefoot toad). The record is from RNAcentral. Lineage: Eukaryota; Metazoa; Chordata; Amphibia; Anura; Pelobatidae.
AUUAUAUUGCCAGCUGCCUAGCACAACACCUGGUUAUUAUUAGGUAAAAGAGUCUGCCAGUUGUCCCCUGACUAGGGUAAUGCAUUUUUUUUUUUUUUAAUGUUAUCAUCCUAUAUGAUUUAUUUUCAGGUCACAUCCAUUUAGAGGGCUGGAAGGCAAGUACCAGGACACAACAAAUCCGUUCACAAUUUCUAUCUCUUUGUGAUAUUGUAUUGCACAUCCAAACAUAUGCAAGGGAAAUGUUCGUUAAUAGAUUUUACAGUUUUAUUAUCAUCAUUUGGCAUUGUCCAUAACAAGUUGCAAAAGAUGUGUUAUAACUUUCCCAAUUGUAAGGCGCUUAAUUAUACACACCAUAGGGAUUGUGCUAUGAUCAGAAGUGCAGAAUUUAUUAAAUAACAUAUGAAAGCGUUAACAAAGUACAUAACUUACAGUACAAAACAUGAAAUCUUUCAUCAGCUGACUUUUGAAACAUAUCCCGAGAUUACAAUUAAAUUAUUUAGUUUAAAACAAGCAAAAGUACUGACAAUGCAUGUUUAGGCAAUAUUAAGAUACGCACUGUGCAAGCAAAAAAACAAUUUAAUAAAGGGCUGUUUUUUCAUGCACAGGGCUUCAAUUUCUUUCUUCGUUUGUGACGCACAAACACAGAGAUACUGCCACUUCUGUUAUGCCUGCUCGGUAUACAGUUGUAAAAUACUUGGUUGGCAUUUAACCCUGUCUGUGUCUUCCAUCUAAAGCAAAAAUUCAUAUUGUGCACAGCACAUUAUUCUGUGCACAGGGACACAGAGGAAAUUUGGAAUGUCUGUCUGUUUGGAUCUCUCCAGUGGAAAUGCAGAAUUUCGAAUCCCAGUCAUUAAAUACAUUCCUGCUAAUUUCCUGGUGUCUACAUGAGACAAGUAAAAAGGCUGUUGUCAUUUAUCUGAGAGGAUGUUGCAGUAGCCAGAUAAAAACAUAUUAAAGGUGGGAGAUUACUGGAAACAUUUGUUGUUCCUAUUAAUGUGUUAAAUUACAUAGGAAUAUGCAUGUUUACCAGAGACAAACUGAAUCUCUCAUUUAGGAGAGACUGUGAUUUCAGGACCCAAAUUCCUCUUUCCAAAUUUCCUUUUGCUGUGUCCUGUUUGAUGGGAACUUAGAAUUUGAGAAAGAGAGAGGUUUUUUUGUUUUUUUUGUUUGUUUGUUUAAAAACCAUCUGAAGUCAGUGGAUACAAUACAAAGAUCUGCACACCAGUCAAGCCAGAAUUGCUUUUCCCACAGAAAUCAUAAGUUUGCAGUGACGUUUCUACUGCAAAGGAUUCUGGGUGGACAUAUGCAAAUUAGUUCCUCAAAGAAUCACAUUUAUAUAUAUUUUACACAAUCUACUCUAACAGCCUAAUGCUUGCUCUUAUGAGAUUAAUCCACUUACUUGGGAAAUACUUCCUUACUGGGACUCUGCAAGUCAAGGCUAAAUAUGGUCCUGGAAUGAGGCAGAGAGUCCCAGUAAGAAAGUAUUUCCCAAGUAAGUGAAUUAAUCUCAUAAGAGCAAACAUUAGGCUGUUAGAGUAGGACCUGCCGAGAAUGGGGUACAUUGACGUUGUGGCAGGGUUAUGCAAUGUAUGAUCAUAUAUUGUAACCAAACCCCCAUUAUUUGUUACCUAGGUGAGGUGUUUAAAUAAAACUAUUUAGGAUUUGAUAUCAUUGUUUAGUUAAUAAGCGAGUGCGCUGGGUUGUGUAUUUUGGUCCCAGCAGCACCCUAUAAUGUAUGCAUGUUCAGGUGAGUGCAGC